Molecule: ribosomal RNA, 518 nt
Filed under: Paraburkholderia tropica
Lineage: Bacteria; Pseudomonadati; Pseudomonadota; Betaproteobacteria; Burkholderiales; Burkholderiaceae
Also listed under: 1 other name
Description: bacterial SSU rRNA
Rfam family: Bacterial small subunit ribosomal RNA
Source: RNAcentral
GAUCCAGCAAUGCCGCGUGUGUGAAGAAGGCCUUCGGGUUGUAAAGCACUUUUGUCCGGAAAGAAAUCCCUGGUCCUAAUAUGGCCGGGGGAUGACGGUACCGGAAGAAUAAGCACCGGCUAACUACGUGCCAGCAGCCGCGGUAAUACGUAGGGUGCAAGCGUUAAUCGGAAUUACUGGGCGUAAAGCGUGCGCAGGCGGUGAUGUAAGACCGAUGUGAAAUCCCCGGGCUCAACCUGGGAACUGCAUUGGUGACUGCAUCGCUUGAGUAUGGCAGAGGGGGGUAGAAUUCCACGUGUAGCAGUGAAAUGCGUAGAGAUGUGGAGGAAUACCGAUGGCGAAGGCAGCCCCCUGGGUCAAUACUGACGCUCAUGCACGAAAGCGUGGGGAGCAAACAGGAUUAGAUACCCUGGUAGUCCACGCCCUAAACGAUGUCAACUGGUUGUCGGGUCUUCAUUGACUUGGUAACGUAGCUAACGCGUGAAGUUGACCGCCUGGGGAGUACGGUCGCAAGAUUA